RNAcentral lists this long non-coding RNA (929 nucleotides) under Musa acuminata (dwarf banana). RNAcentral's name for it is "long non-coding RNA (MACU_LNC004837)". Lineage: Eukaryota; Viridiplantae; Streptophyta; Magnoliopsida; Zingiberales; Musaceae. The record is from RNAcentral.
AACUUAUGAAGGAUGUGACAAAAUCUUUACCCUAAGGAAACUUCAAUGACAAUGCACUUUGCAUCAAGCAGAAAUCACGUAAUAUGUUCCAAAAAUAUGGGUACUGUUACGGUAAGUAACUUUUUAGCCGUGACCUCGGGGUCGACGCGGCUGGUUCGGGGCUCCGGAUGACGGGGAUCAGACGUGGUGCCCCUUUGGUCCCGGUGGUUGCUGAGGCAGGGGAUCUGACUUGGAAAGUUCCGCGGCGAUGAUUGCGUCCAGUCGCGGUCGAGCACCUGCACACAGGUCGGGUCGGUAGCUCGGCCCGACCCCUCCGAGGGUCUAGUCAGUGAUCGUGGAGAGGAGUUUCUAGAGAGAUCGUUUUUCCUCCUUUUUUCCCCCCCUUCUGGCCUGUUGGGGGCCAGGGGGUAUUUAUAAGGGGGUUUGAUGUUACCUGAUGCGCCAACCUGCCGGAGCCGGGUCGUAUCUCUGAUGGCGCUUGUCGAUGUCGUGGGCGUUGCGUGGAAGGCCGAGCUGCCGCGGGGUAUGGGGGGUGUCAGUCAGCGCCAUCCCCUGCCUUGGCUGGAUACGAGGGUCAGCCGAGGAGGUUGUUGGGGUACGAUCGGCGUGGGUGCAUGUCGUGUCGUUGUUAAUGCUCGUGCUGGGGCAGUGUGCCGCGACAGAGUGUCCGACGUGGAGAUGAUGUAUUAUGACAAAUCUGGGGUGUUAUGUCAAAUCAGUUUUUACCCCUAUCAGGUACUAAUUGGUAUUGUACUAAAUAUUCUCUCCUAGCUUCCAGCAGAUUAAUAUGCUGAGUAACAUCAGGGUGAAGAUUACCUCUGUAUCCAACUAGGGGAAAAGAAAGACCGGAAAGUGAUGGGUGGGCAGUCCAUCCUUUGAAACCAGGGUAGUUUUGUGAUUCGAUGCAAGGGCUUUGUGCGACGGUUCAG